UGAAGUCUGACCUGACACUGCUUUCCUUGCAGCUGAGAAGGAAAAAAAGUUUUCCCGAAUGUGACCCAGAUGCAUGGAAAUCAGGAUCCAGACAGGUGGGAAGACAGAGUUCCUCGAUUGCUGACAUCUCCACAUUUAGUCAGCACACCUUUAAAGACUUACUUAAGGGUCCUAGAAUGAAGGGUGGUAUUAAAAGAAUUAUAUUCUGUUCUUCUGAAUGAAGGAUGUGCCAGAACACUACAGAAACAGAAGCAGGAAUGAAAGAGGAGCUGAAAUCUGCUAGGAAUGAAUGGGGUGCUGAAAUUGUUCAUUGUAUUCUCAGAGCUUAGUAAAGCAAGUUUAACCCCUCUUCAAUGGAUGGGUUUGAUUUGUGUACAUACAGUGGUGUGCUGACGUUUCCUGUGCCUUUGGUGGGGGGGAGAUACAUCAAUUGGUAUUGCCUUUGCCAAAUCA
Molecule: long non-coding RNA, 453 nt
Organism: Hemicordylus capensis (graceful crag lizard)
Lineage: Eukaryota; Metazoa; Chordata; Lepidosauria; Squamata; Cordylidae
Exons: 6
Source: RefSeq, a predicted model, not a curated record